UAAACAACAUGGAGGUUCUGCAAGUUUGAAAAGUUUUUGUUUCAUUACAUUUGGUGGAUUUAUAACAGAAGUUAUCGUCUAAAUCCCGGUGGAACAGAAAGAUACAGCAUUUAGAAAGUGAUGAACAAAUACCAUUGCCAGACAUGCUGAUAAUAUAGGAGCCAUCUUAACAGAACCUUAAAUCACAAUCUACGAUAAAUAUUUAGGACCCAACAUGGCAUCUAGACCAAAAUCUGCAAUUCCCAACAGGAGCAGGAGUCGAAGCUCAAGUCGGGAAGGAUCAAAAUCACGAGCUGGAAGCAAAGGUAAAGAUAAAAAAGGCAAAAAGAAAAAAGAGAAGCCACUUACUCCAAAACAAAUGAAAAAACUAAUUGCUGAACAAGUAAAAGAACUUGAAGAACUAAGAGUUAGUGUUGCGAAUUUGACAACAGAAAACACAGACCUUAAAGAGAAACUAGAGCUGAUAAUAAGAAAACUUGUGAACAAUAUUGAUGUUGAACAAUUUGAGAUUGAAAAAACGACACCUACUACAGAAAUCAAAAUGGACACAAUCAUUGACAUGAUGACGAAGUUGAUAACGAGGUUUAACUAUAGGGGGCGCAUGGAGACAAGAAUUGAGGAGCUAGAGAGUAAAUUAACUCACCAGAACAAUCAAGUGGCCAGAUUGGUGCAAAGGAACUUAGCAAUAGAGAAUGGACUAUGUGAAAUGUCACUGUGUUAUGACUUUGAUGAAUUACAUAGGAGAAUCAGUCACUUACAGUUAGAGACAUCUGAGGCUUUGACACCUUUAGGUGAUGCAAUAUACCACCCCUCCUCUCCCCGCCGCCCCACAGGCCAUCUAGUGAAUACUGCAAUAGAGGGACGCACCCCCCAAGUACAGGAAGACCUGGAGACAUUCUUACUCACUCCUCCAUCAAGAAGGUUGCCAGGGGAUACCCACAUCACUAACAUCUACAGGGAACUUAAGCUGUACUUGAUGAAGGAACUGAGCCUUGAAAAAUCAUCAGGUGCAGAUUGGCGUAUGUUAGCUCAACGUGUAAUGAUUCCUGAUGACACUAUUAACUAUUGGGUUAGUCUCCAAAUGGAGUUCCCGAUGGGACGUGUAUUUGCCGAGUGGGGUGAGAGUGAGGAUGCAACAGUUCGAAUACUACACAGACAUUUACAGUCCCCACAAAUGAGACUUGUAUUGCUAGCCAAACGAAUAUCAGAUUUCUACGAUGUAGACUAGAAUGAAUAAAGGUGGAGUAGCAUGUUAAACAGCUGAUAGAUGGCGCUUCUGCCUCAAUGAUGAUGAUGAUGAUGAGAAUAACAUCAAAAGUGAAAUAUUUGUAUUAGAGGAGGACCAGAAAAUCCUGGAAGGACCAAGGAACUGUUUACCCUAAACUAAUCUGAAAUUGAAAAAAAUUCUAAAUUACUUUCCCAGAAUUAGGUGCUGCAGCCUUUUGAACAUUAAAAAUGACAAACAACCUGUGUUUAAAAUACAUCACAAGGAUGCAAUAUGGAUAUAUUUUGACUAAAACAGGAAAAAUUUCCAUUUACAGAAAAAUCCUAGGAAGUUCACUGUUAUAAUGGACAUACAAUUAGGUUGUGUAACCCAAGAUAAGAUGAAUUAACUCACUGCAUUUCAGCCCAGCAUUUACUUUCUGAAAUAGGUUAAUCUUGCUAGAUUAAAGGCUAGACUUAUAUUGAGAACACUAAGCCAUAUGGUACUCAAUCAGACUGAUCCUGAAGUGACAUCCUUGACUGAAAAAAUUUUUUUUCAUACAUUAUUCACUUAUCCACUGGUAAUUGCUCAUACACUUAACAUGGCCCACAAGAAACAUGGAAUGGGAUGUGGGAAUCGGAAAUCCAUUGAGCCCAUGUGUAGAUGCAGUGCAUUCUUUAACCCAUUUCUAAGCAAUACUGGAUUCAUAUCUGUGAUUUUGCUUGACAAUGGGCAUUGUAUUAUAAUGUAUUAAUCAAAAUGAACAAAGUUCAGCAUUAUGUAUGUUUUGUUAUGCUGUAGUUGUACUUAUGUCAUGUAGAUGUAUGUAGUAAAUGUUGAUGUCAGAAAGACAUGUAAAUAUGAUACCCAAAUGUCUUUAUUCUGAUGCUGUGAUGGUAAUUCUUACGACAGCUUCAUAUACUGUAAACCAAGAAAAUAAUUUUUGAUUUAUUUUCACAAUUUUAAUGAUUUUCCUCAAAUUAGCAACAAAUGUUUGCGCUUUCAAGAAAAUAUGGAAAGUAACAACUUUUGCUGUUGUUAUAACAAGCGUAAUGGCUAAAUAUGAUUUAUGUUUAAAAAAUAUAAAUCAGAUGAUUUAUCUGUGUGAAAAUGAUGCCAUUGUGAAAUUUUCAAAAAAUAUCUGAAGCAAAAAUGUCUGCUCGAGAAAUUCUGUAUUUGAACGAGAACUGACCAAUCAGAGGGCUUCAUUUUACAGAUCA
Molecule: unclassified non-coding RNA, 2424 nt
Filed under: Owenia fusiformis
Lineage: Eukaryota; Metazoa; Annelida; Polychaeta; Sabellida; Oweniidae
Description: misc RNA OFUS_LOCUS16364
Source: RNAcentral